Molecule: unclassified non-coding RNA, 1392 nt
Filed under: uncultured Neocallimastigales
Lineage: Eukaryota; Fungi; Neocallimastigomycota; Neocallimastigomycetes; Neocallimastigales
Description: partial contains small subunit ribosomal RNA, internal transcribed spacer 1, 5.8S ribosomal RNA, internal transcribed spacer 2, and large subunit ribosomal RNA
Rfam family: Eukaryotic large subunit ribosomal RNA (bases 620-1392)
Source: RNAcentral
UUUCCGUAGGUGAACCUGCGGAAGGAUCAUUAAAAAAUAUCACUCGAUUGAGAGUGAUUUAAUAAUCAUCCUACCCUUUGUGAGUUUGUUUGUAAUGUUAAAUUUAUGUUGUCUAUCCCUUGGAAAGUUUGUUCAUUUAAACCCCAAGGGAAUAGGCUUUCAUAGACCUUUUUUUUAAAAUUAAACAUUUUGUAUUCAUUUGUCUAAAAUUUAUUUUUAAAAUAAUUUAAAAACAACUUUUGACAAUGGAUCUCUUGGUUCUCGCAACGAUGAAGAACGCAGCAAAAUGCAAUAAGUAAUGUGAAUUGCAGAAUACGUGAAUCAUCAAAUCUUCGAACGCAUAUUGCACUUUUUUAGUUUACUAAAAAGUAUGUCUGUCUGAGUAUCAGUAAAAUAUUCUCAUAAAAAAAUUUUUUUUUUUAUGGUCAUGAGUGUUUUACAACGAUAAACAAGUUGUUUCACUUUAAAUUGAUUUUUAAAAGCCAAUUUUUUUUGGUUUUUAUCUAAUAAAUUGGACAGAAUUUCCCGUAAAAAGGAAUAAACUUUUCAGUUUUAAAGGGUAAAAAUUAAAAUAUUAAUUGUUGCUUAAUUUAAAAGGAAAAUUUAAUUUAAAAUAACUUGAUCUCAAAUCAGAUAAGAGUACCCGCUGAACUUAAGCAUAUCAAUAAGCGGAGGAAAAGAAACUAACAAGGAUUCCCUUAGUAACGGCGAGUGAAGCGGGAAGAGCUCAAAUUUGAAAUCUUCAGGUUCUACCUUGACGAAUUGUAGUUUAAAGAAGUGUUUUCUGUUAGAGGAGUAGCAAAAGUUCCUUGGAAUGGGACAUCAUAGAGGGUGAGAAUCCCGUAUUUGGUUAUUCUUUCUAGCUUUGUGAUACACUUUCAAAGAGUCGGAUUGUUCGGGAAUGCAGUCCAAAAUGGGUGGUAAAUCUCAUCUAAAGCUAAAUAUUGGCGAGAGACCGAUAGCGAACAAGUACCGUGAGGGAAAGAUGAAAAGAACUUUGAAAAGAGAGUUAAACAGUACGUGAAAUUGUCAAAAGGGAAGCGUUUGACACCAGUGUUGUUUUCCGAAAAUCAAUUAAGAAGAGUUGAUUUUGUGUUGUAUUGACCUUAUCAGCUUUCUUCACUCUUUUCCUGUCUUUCUUAAUGCACUUUUCGUUAACAAGUCAACAUCAAUUUCUUUUGUUGUAAAAGGGUCAUUGGAAGGUGGCUUUCUUUCGGAGAAAGUGUUUAUAGCCUUUGAUCUCUGCAAUCGGAGAGACUGAGGUCUGCAGCGUAGAUCCUUCGGGGCUAGAUACACUUGUGCUAAGCUACAGCUUUUCAUAGACAACUUGUUGACUAUGUUUAGUCUUGUAACUUACCCGCUUAUGCUAUUUUACCUACGCUUAGGAUGUUG